GUCAGGGUAGCUCAACCGGUUAGAGCGCCACACUCAUAACGUGGAGGUUGAGAGUUCGAGUCUCUCCCUUGACA
Molecule: transfer RNA, 74 nt
Filed under: Pseudomonadota bacterium
Lineage: Bacteria; Pseudomonadati; Pseudomonadota
Also listed under: 1 other name
Description: tRNA-Met
Rfam family: tRNA
About the family: Transfer RNA (tRNA) molecules are approximately 80 nucleotides in length. Their secondary structure includes four short double-helical elements and three loops (D, anti-codon, and T loops). Further hydrogen bonds mediate the characteristic L-shaped molecular structure. tRNAs have two regions of fundamental functional importance: the anti-codon, which is responsible for specific mRNA codon recognition, and the 3' end, to which the tRNAs corresponding amino acid is attached (by aminoacyl-tRNA synthetases). tRNAs cope with the degeneracy of the genetic code in two manners: having more than one tRNA (with a specific anti-codon) for a particular amino acid; and 'wobble' base-pairing, i.e. permitting non-standard base-pairing at the 3rd anti-codon position.
Source: RNAcentral